Molecule: non-coding RNA, 69 nt
Filed under: Leucobacter sp. Ag1
Lineage: Bacteria; Bacillati; Actinomycetota; Actinomycetes; Micrococcales; Microbacteriaceae
Also listed under: 1 other name
Source: RNAcentral
AGGGGCUUCGCUCUGAGUCGAAGCGCGGACGAGGGAGCAGUACCCGCCCAGCGACAAGACUGCCACGGA